UGAAAAUGAGCACAUGGUGGAGUCAGCUAACUGGCUGAGGAUAAACCAGACUUUCUGGAUUUCCAACCCUUAUCCAGACCUCAGGAUGUCCUACUGAAGAGCAUCUGCCACCACCACCCAUCACCUCUAUGGCCUAACCUCGCUUUCCCACCACCACCACCUGCCCAUAAUCUUCAUGGUCUGACCUUGCUUUCUCACACCCAUACCUGCAGCUGAUGCUUUGGAACUGAUUCCCAUCUGCCUGACACUUGGAGAUGCCCUCUAUCUCUGGACUUCCUUUCUGGAACUGCUAAGAAUAAGCAUUUGCAUGGAUUGGGGAGGUUCCCUUGGACCAUACUUGACCACCCGGAGCUUGUAAGGAGAGGCUGAUGACUGGGAAGCCAUCUGGUAGAGUGUGCUGAAGUCUCCUUUGGGGUCAUCCAUUCGCAAGGAGCCAUCAGCUGUGCCAGGGAGCAGGGAUGGGCUGAGAAGUCGCUCUUGGAGAUCACAUUUCAGGCACACUACAAUAAAAAUGGCAUUAGGGGGAGGGAUUGUUUGUCACAAGUUAUCUCAGGGUAUGUGAUUAAGAGACAACAUCUGCCUCCCAUUCCACCUCCACCAGGCAAAUAAGGGCUGGGAGGAGGCAGGGGAAUGUAAAGAGGAAAGUAUGAUUGGUUUGGGAAGGCACAGCAGGUCUGGAACCUACAGUGUUGCUCUACACAGUAGUUAACUUAUUUUUUGGUUAUGAACAAUUUUUAUUUGUUUUACUUUGGGCUGGCUGAAGAGUUGCCACAUAGUGAGAGAUCUGGCUUGUGAUCCAGUCUGAGAGGAACAUUAGCCUCUUCAGAGGAAGCAGCUAACCCUUUGCAAUCACAGAAGGAAAUCUUGCCUCUGUUGCUUCCCUGUGGCUAAGUUUUGGCAAGACUACAUGUCAGAUGAAGGAAGAGCAGGAAAGCAGAAGUCAGGCCGUCAGCUGACAGCUGUUAUUUCUCUGUGGGCUCUUCUAGGGACAUUCGGGGUGGGGGGAGGAUUAAGUUCCUGAAAUGGUUUAUUUUUUAAUUCCCCAAAGAAACCCAAGUACAGAACUUCCUGGGCCUUGGAGCAUCACUGUGGCACCAGAGAACAGUUCUGGUGGGGGCUUCGGCUAGAUCUCAACUGUGCCUGAGCAACUGGAUUCCAGGGAAGACCUCCCCAGCAGAAGCGCUGACAAGUCUGGAUCUAAGUUCUACCUUGCGCCCUGAAGACCUGUGGAUUUCCAAAGCACGACUGUGGAGGGAGAUAAAUAUUCUGGCUCUGACCCUGGUGCUGAAAGCCAUGGAAGAGGGAGAGGAAGAGUAGAGAAAUUAUCCUGACAACCACGGGCAAAUGCUGUGCAACAGUUGAAGAAAGGCUGGGUGCAGGGACUGCUGGCUUUAGAGGUCUCAGCCCUCCUAACGAGAGAAGUGUUCCACAAGGCAGCCUGCAUAGUAGGUUAUGGCUCAGGCUCUGGAGGCAGAUAAGAACUGUUCUCUAGGCUGAGAGUCAAAUGUACAAAAUACAGAAUUCUGAUCUUAAGGGUUAAGAGCGGGCUCUGGAGUUGCCUGACUUCAAAUUCUGGCUCUGCUAUUAACUUUCUAGGCAGCCUUUAAGAAAAUGUUCAGUUUCUUAAAGUCUCAGUUUUCUCAUCUGCAAAAGAGGGAUAAUAUUGUAUUUAAUUAUUCUAAAACACAUUUUUUUUCACAUGCUAACAUCUCUAUAUGUGUCUUACAAUCACCACUGGCCAGGAAGACAAUCUUAACCCUUACUUACUAUUCUAAUCUAAAAAAGCUUUCUCAGUAAGGAUAAAAUAGUAUUUCUAAGUGAUGAGAAAGCAUGGUGACAUGCUUAAUUGGCAGGGAUUUUCUUUCUUGGUGGUGUGUAAAAUAACAGUGUAUCUUAUCAUUGAGAGCAUCUUAGACUCAAUGACACAUGGCAACAGCACUUGCUCUGUGGUGUUGUGUGAAGAUGAGAUGGGAUAAUGCAAGGCAAGGAGUUAACAUAAUGCUUGGGAGCAAAUACAUAAGAAAUGGCUUCCAGAGGAUGGGAUGGAGGAAUUGGUACUAUGUGCCUUGGACUAAAGGAGCAGGAAGGAGGUUCCAGGAAGAAGAGUUUACACAGAAAGGAAAGAUAGGUUAAAAUCAAGGUAAAUUGUCAAAGGCAUCCCAGGCUUUAGGUUGAAGUGGGGAAAGGAGCAGGAGGAUUAAGACGGAAGGCUGUCCCCAGAAAGGACAGAUCACAGUGUCUCACCCUUUGAGGGUGAAGUUUGUUCUGAUUUUUCUCAUUGAACUCCUGCCCAUAAAGGGGGAAGACACACCUUGGUCCUUUCCCUUUGGAGCUGGGCCCUAAGGAGAUAGGUUUUCCAAGCUCAGUGUGGCUGACUAUACUCAUGGGCCCAUUUGUAGGCCCUGCCACCCUGGGUUCUGAGCCAGCCUUCAAGUGGGAUGGGAGAAUAGAAAUGGCCUUUUCUCUCCCAUCUGAUUAACCUGGAACUCAGUAUGACUGCCAGCCAGAAUGACAUCCAGAACCUUGUUGGUAUGCCCAGGUACUGGACUGAUCUCUUGGCUUCCACAAUUGCCAGAACAUACUUUGUGAAUAUGGUAUUAAGGUACUAGUUGACCUCCAUAGGGCCUGCCUCUGUGAAUGCUUUAGUUCCCCCCAGUUUGCUGUCUUCCUAUCCAUAAAACCUCUUCUUAAUCAUGGUUCUUUAUUAUCCUCACAGACCCUGUUGAUAUUGUGGUUACCAGCAUGCCUCAAAUUAUAAUAUCAAUAAUAUCUACCACAUUAAAACGAAAAACUUGAGAAAAACAUACUAUUCAUUGUGCUCUUUUGUAGUGUGGUCCUACCCUAUUAUUUAGGUACCUAAAAGCCUUUGCUCCUAAACUAAUUGGACCUUGUUGUCUGGGUUUAAUUAGGUUCAUUUUUUUACAUGUGGUCAUUUUUUGAAAUUCUUUUCUUACUCCUUAUGCUUACAGUGGACAGCCUUCUCCAAUCCCUAAACCUCAACUACUUUGUAUUUUGAUGACUCACCAAUCUACAGUCUUAAUCCCAGACUAGGAUAAUCAUAGCCUAUAUAAUAUGUCUUUUGGGAGGUAUGUACUUGAAUUAUCUCUGGCUCUGGAAAUGUUGCUCAAACACCGUGAAGGAAGAAGAAGAUGGAUAUAUUCUUGGUCUGUU
Manis javanica (Malayan pangolin) is the source of this 3171-nucleotide non-coding RNA. The record is from RefSeq and is a predicted model, not a curated record. NCBI's taxonomy places the organism in Eukaryota, Metazoa, Chordata, Mammalia, Pholidota, Manidae.